RNAcentral lists this ribosomal RNA (492 nucleotides) under uncultured bacterium. Its description in RNAcentral is "partial 16S ribosomal RNA". It matches the Rfam family "Bacterial small subunit ribosomal RNA", at positions 29 to 507 of the family's 1533-position model. The record is from RNAcentral.
AGUGAACGCUGGCGGUAGGCCUAACACAUGCCAGUCGAACGGCAGCACAGUAAGAGCUUGCUCUUACGGGUGGCGAGUGGCGGACGGGUGAGGAAUACAUCGGAAUCUACUUUUUCGUGGGGGAUAACGUAGGGAAACUUACGCUAAUACCGCAUACGACCUACGGGUGAAAGCAGGGGAUCUUCGGACCUUGCGCGAUUGAAUGAGCCGAUGUCGGAUUAGCUAGUUGGCGGGGUAAAGGCCCACCAAGGCGACGAUCCGUAGCUGGUCUGAGAGGAUGAUCAGCCACACUGGAACUGAGACACGGUCCAGACUCCUACGGGAGGCAGCAGUGGGGAAUAUUGGACAAUGGGCGCAAGCCUGAUGCAGCCAUACCGCGUGGGUGAAGAAGGCCUUCGGGUUGUAAAGCCCUUUUGUUGGGAAAGAAAAGCAGCAGGUUAAUACCCCGCUGUUCUGACGGUACCCAAAGAAUAAGCACCGGCUAACUUCGUG